UACGUAGGUGACAAGCGUUAUCCGGAAUUACUGGGUUUAAAGGGUGCGUAGGCGGCUUUGUAAGUCAGGAGUGAAAGUUUGCAGCUCAACUGUAAAAUUGCUUUUGAUACUGCGAGGCUAGAAUUAGGAUGAGGUCAGCGGAAUGUGGCAUGUAGCGGUGAAAUGCAUAGAUAUGCCAUAGAACACCAAUUGCGAAGGCAGCUGGCUAGACCUGGAUUGACGCUGAGGCACGAAAGCGUGGGGAGCGAACAGG
This 253-nucleotide ribosomal RNA is filed under the name uncultured bacterium. RNAcentral describes it as "partial 16S ribosomal RNA". It matches the Rfam family "Bacterial small subunit ribosomal RNA", at positions 524 to 776 of the family's 1533-position model. The record is from RNAcentral.